UACGGAGGGUGCGAGCGUUGUCCGGAAUCACUGGGCGUAAAGGGCGCGUAGGCGGCCGCGUUAGUCGGUUGUGAAAUCCCGGGGCUCAACUCCGGGGCUGCAUCCGAUACUGCGUGGCUGGAGUGCGGCAGGGGCGAGCGGAAUUCCCGGUGUAGCGGUGGAAUGCGUAGAUAUCGGGAAGAACACCAGUGGCGAAGGCGGCUCGCUGGGCCGUUGCUGACGCUGAGGCGCGAAAGCGUGGGGAGCAAACAGG
This 253-nucleotide unclassified non-coding RNA is filed under the name uncultured Gemmatimonadaceae bacterium. Its description in RNAcentral is "contains 16S-23S intergenic spacer region". It matches the Rfam family "Bacterial small subunit ribosomal RNA", at positions 524 to 776 of the family's 1533-position model. Lineage: Bacteria; Pseudomonadati; Gemmatimonadota; Gemmatimonadia; Gemmatimonadales; Gemmatimonadaceae. The record is from RNAcentral.